This 497-nucleotide ribosomal RNA is filed under the name uncultured bacterium. RNAcentral describes it as "partial 16S ribosomal RNA". It matches the Rfam family "Bacterial small subunit ribosomal RNA", at positions 28 to 507 of the family's 1533-position model. The record is from RNAcentral.
GAUGAACGCUGGCGGCGUGCCUAAUACAUGCAAGUCGAGCGAACAGACGAGGAGCUUGCUCCUCUGACGUUAGCGGCGGACGGGUGAGUAACACGUGGAUAACCUACCUAUAAGACUGGGAUAACUUCGGGAAACCGGAGCUAAUACCGGAUACUAUAUUGAACCGCAUGGUUCAAUAGUGAAAGACGGUUUUGCUGUCACUUAUAGAUGGAUACGCGCCGCAUUAGCUAGUUGGUAAGGUAACGGCUUACCAAGGCAACGAUGCGUAGCCGACCUGAGAGGGUGAUCGGCCACACUGGAACUGAGACACGGUACAGACUCCUACGGGAGGCAUCAGUAGGGAAUCUUCCGCAAUGGGCGAAAGUCUGACGGAGCAACGCCGCGUGAGUGAUGAAGGUCUUCGGAUCGUAAAACUCUGUUAUUAGGGAAGAACAAAUGUGUAAGUAACUAUGCACGUCUUGACGGUACCUAAUCAGAAAGCCACGGCUAACUACGUG